Non-coding RNA from Ceratotherium simum simum (southern white rhinoceros), 119 nucleotides. NCBI's taxonomy places the organism in Eukaryota, Metazoa, Chordata, Mammalia, Perissodactyla, Rhinocerotidae. The record is from RefSeq and is a predicted model, not a curated record.
GGAGAAGUUUCACAGUGGGAGAGCUCUGAAAAAUUUAACAAUCUGUAGCAAAGACAAGUCCUUGAGCAGAGAACUGAUGACCAUGGUAGAGUGGAGGCUGAGGGUCUGGAAAGAGAGGA